CACAAAGUAAGUCCUAUCCCACUAUGUUCUUUCCUUCACAAAAAAUCAACCUCUUCCAGACAUUGCAAAUUAGCUAACAAGAGUCUCUGAAGAUUUGGAUUUUCCUUCUUUCACCAGAAAAUCAAGCCUCUUCUCUUCUAUUCAGACACUGCAAAUUUAGGGUUUUUAAUAGCAAGAACAUUUGCAGGGCAGUAAUCGAAGGGCAGAUUGAAUCUUGAUAAAGGAGUUUGGGAAGACAGAAGAAAAUGUCGGGUAUGGGAGAUGGGUAUGUGGGCACUGCCCAAGAUGCUGUGAGAAUCCGAAGGCUUGAGAAGCAAAGAGAAGCGGAGAGGCGAAAGAUUCAAGAGCUGAAGAACAAGAGUGCUUCCUCUAAAGGCCAACCUGGCCUCCUCCAAUUUGGCUCCAGCACCUCUGAGAUACUCGAGACAGCAUUUAAGAAGGAAACUGUUGGGUUGGUGAGUAGGGAAGAAUAUGUUGAGAAGAGGGUUAAUAUUAGGAGUAAGAUUGAAGAGGAAGAAAAAGAGAAGCUUCAGAAGUUGCAACAAGAGGAGGAGGAACUUCAGCUACAGAAGCUUAAGAAGAGAAAAGUGAAGGUGGACCCUCGGUUAUCCUUUUGUGAUGAUAUUGAGAAUUCCAACACAGAUGAAGAUGUAGAAAACGUUGGAAGGAAAGAAUCAGAAAGGCUUGGAUGUUGGAAAUUCGGGAAGGAUCCAACUGUUGAAACUAGUUUUUUGCCUGAUAGCACACUCUUUCAGUGAGAGAGAGGCAGAGGAGCAAGCUGAGCGUGAAAGGCUACGGAAGCAGUGGCUUGUUGAACAAGAACGUAUUAAAAAUGAACCCCUUGAAAUUACUUACAGCUACUGGGAUGGGACAGGCCAUAGACGGGUUAUCCAGGUUCGGAAAGGAGAUUCAAUAGGGGAGUUCCUUCGAGCUGUACAACAGCAACUUGCACCAGAGUUUCGAGAGGUCCGGACAACAUCAGUGGAUAAUCUGCUAUAUGUGAAAGAAGAUCUUAUCAUUCCUCAUCAACACAGUUUCUAUGAGCUGAUUGUUAACAAAGCUAGGGGAAAGAGUGGACCGCUUUUCCACUUUGAUGUGCAUGAGGAUGUGAGGACAAUAGCUGACGCAACAAUAGAGAAGGAUGAGUCACAUGCUGGGAAAGUUGUUGAAAGGCACUGGUAUGAGAAGAAUAAGCACAUUUUUCCUGCUUCACGUUGGGAGAUAUAUGAUCCAACAAAGAAGUGGGAAAGGUACACUAUCCAUGGGGAUUGAUAUGUUGAAGCCAAAAUUACCCCUUCAGUGUUAUUUGAUUGCAGAACAGAAGUGCCUUGUAAAGCUAGAAAUGUAUCUUAUCAAUUGGACCGAUAUGAUAUAGAAAAACUUGUGCUUUUGUUUAUUAUUGUGCUAGAAACGUAUCUUACAAGAUCUGGAGUUGUAUGUUCUAUGCAUCGUUUUGGUUUUAUUUGCUGUUGCAGCAGAAUUUCUCUUUUUGUUUGAUCAGACCAAACCUGAGUGAUAGUGUAAUAGCUGAUUAGUGACUGUUGAUAGACAUGCAUGUUCAAUUUUCUGAUCAAACAGCUAUUUGCUAGCAUCUAUUUUUGUGCAAGUAUCAAUUCUGGAAAGAAUGAAACUGUAAAAAGAUAUGUUAAGAGA
Molecule: non-coding RNA, 1653 nt
Organism: Coffea arabica (coffee)
Lineage: Eukaryota; Viridiplantae; Streptophyta; Magnoliopsida; Gentianales; Rubiaceae
Source: RefSeq, a predicted model, not a curated record